RNAcentral lists this ribosomal RNA (253 nucleotides) under Faecalibacterium prausnitzii. RNAcentral describes it as "partial 16S ribosomal RNA". It matches the Rfam family "Bacterial small subunit ribosomal RNA", at positions 524 to 776 of the family's 1533-position model. The record is from RNAcentral. Lineage: Bacteria; Bacillati; Bacillota; Clostridia; Eubacteriales; Oscillospiraceae.
AACGUAGGUCACAAGCGUUGUCCGGAAUUACUGGGUGUAAAGGGAGCGCAGGCGGGAGAACAAGUUGGAAGUGAAAUCCAUGGGCUCAACCCAUGAACUGCUUUCAAAACUGUUUUUCUUGAGUAGUGCAGAGGUAGGCGGAAUUCCCGGUGUAGCGGUGGAAUGCGUAGAUAUCGGGAGGAACACCAGUGGCGAAGGCGGCCUACUGGGCACCAACUGACGCUGAGACUCGAAAGUGUGGGUAGCAAACAGG